Glycine soja is the source of this 727-nucleotide long non-coding RNA. RefSeq lists it as uncharacterized. The transcript is spliced from 2 exons. The record is from RefSeq and is a predicted model, not a curated record. NCBI's taxonomy places the organism in Eukaryota, Viridiplantae, Streptophyta, Magnoliopsida, Fabales, Fabaceae.
CAUCUUAUCAAUCCAGACAGCAGCAGACAAUGAUGUGACCCUCGUAGACCAUUUCUAUAAUCUACACACUACCACCAUGAUGCAUACUAAAUUAUAAUCUUCUUGGCAACUUCCUACAACUUCAAGCAAGCUAAAUCUAUAUGUCUAUAUAAGUAAGGCUCACAAAUGAAGUUGUGUAUUGUGUAUAUAUUCAGAUCAUCGAAAUCUUGUCAUAGAUAUCGAGCACAAUUAAUCUAAUUAAUUAUUUAAGAUGAUUGUGGUAAACAAACGCAUUCUAGCUACUUGUGUCUUUCUUCCUUCUCUGCUUCAUCUCUAUCAAUGCUAGAGCACAAAUACUGAAAGAAAAAAGCAAUAUGGAUAGCACUAGUGAUGCUAGCACAUAUUAUCAAAGUGAAACGCAUGAUGAUCACGUAUUUAAGCCAAAAGAAGAUAAAGAUAAUGCAAACGAAGUGUUCUCAAUGGAUUACACUCCAGCCAGAAGGAAGCCACCGAUCCACAAUUUGAAUUGAUCGAUCGAUGGAUAAAUUUAGUGCCACAACUUAUUUUAUAUACUAGGAAAUAUUUUACCAUGUAUUAUCCAAUGUCUUGCAAUUUUAUAGCGUUGUAAUUAUCUAGAAUACACGGUAAGAAAAUAUGCAUGUGUACAGUACUCUGCGAGAUCUCUAUUGAAAUUUCAGAAUAGUGAUACACUGAUACUUAUAUAUAAACUUAUAUAUUUACACAGGUA